CUACGGCCAUAUUAUGUUGAAACACUGGUUCUCGUAUGAUCACUGACGAUAAGCAAUGUUGAGUCUGGUCAGUACCAAGAUGGGUGACCACUUC
Acanthosepion pharaonis is the source of this 94-nucleotide non-coding RNA. The record is from the annotation of a GenBank genome assembly. NCBI's taxonomy places the organism in Eukaryota, Metazoa, Mollusca, Cephalopoda, Sepiida, Sepiidae.